UACGUAGGGUCCGAGCGUUGUCCGGAAUUAUUGGGCGUAAAGAGCGUGUAGGCGGCCAGACAAGUCUGCUGUGAAAACUCGAGGCUCAACCUCGAGCUGUCGGCGGAAACUGUCUGGCUAGAGUCCGGAAGAGGAGAGUGGAAUUCCUGGUGUAGCGGUGAAAUGCGCAGAUAUCAGGAAGAACACCAAUGGCGAAGGCAGCUCUCUGGGACGGUACUGACGCUGAGACGCGAAAGCGUGGGGAGCGAACAGG
This 253-nucleotide ribosomal RNA is filed under the name uncultured bacterium. Its description in RNAcentral is "partial 16S ribosomal RNA". It matches the Rfam family "Bacterial small subunit ribosomal RNA", at positions 524 to 776 of the family's 1533-position model. The record is from RNAcentral.